This 330-nucleotide ribosomal RNA is filed under the name uncultured bacterium. Its description in RNAcentral is "bacterial SSU rRNA". It matches the Rfam family "Bacterial small subunit ribosomal RNA", at positions 568 to 898 of the family's 1533-position model. The record is from RNAcentral.
CGCGUAGGUGGUAGUGUAAGUCUGGGGUGGAAUCCCAGGGCUUAGCCCUGGAACUGCCUUGGAAACUGUAUUACUUGAGUCAGUGAGGGGAGGGUAGAAUUCCUGGUGUAGCGGUGAAAUGCGUAGAUAUCAGGAGGAAGGCCUGUGGCGAAGGCGGCCCUCUGGCGCUGGACUGACACUGAGGCGCGAAAGCGUGGGGAGCAAACAGGAUUAGAUACCCUGGUAGUCCACGCCCUAAACGGUGGGCACUAGGUGUAGGGCUCGUAAGGGUUCUGUGCCGAAGGGAAACCAUUAAGUGCCCCGCCUGGGGAGUACGGCCGCAAGGUUGAA